RNAcentral lists this long non-coding RNA (237 nucleotides) under Elaeis guineensis (African oil palm). RNAcentral's name for it is "long non-coding RNA (EGUI_LNC056805)". The record is from RNAcentral. Lineage: Eukaryota; Viridiplantae; Streptophyta; Magnoliopsida; Arecales; Arecaceae.
CCCCAGAUACGUUAUUCUAUAAGCUCUCAUUUUUAUCUAAAAACUCUGCUAAAAUUUUUGUUCGAGCACUCCAUUCUUGUUGAGAUAGAGAACUGACUUGAGCGUCGGAAGGUCUUGCCCGAGCAACCCCACCUCCGGUUUAGACUUCUUUUGCAGGUCCCGACGGCAACCACGACUCCAGCUUCUCCGGCGCAAGCAGAUUUUUGCACCAACACUAUAUUUCAUAUAUUUCACCUA